AGAGUUGAUCCUGGCUUAGGACGAACGCUGGCGGCGUGCCUAACACAUGCAAGUGAGCGAGGAGAUCCCUCGGGGAUGAACCUAGCGGCGGACGGGUGAGUAACACGUGGGCAACCUGCCUUAUAGAGGGGAAUAGCCUUCCGAAAGGAAGAUUAAUACCGCAUAACAUUACAUUUUCGCAUGAAGAAGUAAUUAAAGGAGUAAUCCGCUAUAAGAUGGGCCCGCGGCGCAUUAGCUAGUUGGUGAGGUAACGGCUCACCAAGGCGACGAUGCGUAGCCGACCUGAGAGGGUGAUCGGCCACAUUGGGACUGAGACACGGCCCAGACUCCUACGGGAGGCAGCAGUGGGGAAUAUUGCACAAUGGGGGAAACCCUGAUGCAGCCAACGCCGCGUGAGUGAUGAAGGUCUUCGGAUCGUAAAGCUCUGUCUUCAGGGACGAUAAUGACGGUACCUGAGGAGGAAGCCACGGCUAACUACGUGCCAGCAGCAGC
RNAcentral lists this ribosomal RNA (492 nucleotides) under uncultured bacterium. RNAcentral describes it as "bacterial SSU rRNA". It matches the Rfam family "Bacterial small subunit ribosomal RNA", at positions 8 to 518 of the family's 1533-position model. The record is from RNAcentral.